Oryzias latipes (Japanese medaka) is the source of this 2570-nucleotide non-coding RNA. The record is from RefSeq and is a predicted model, not a curated record. NCBI's taxonomy places the organism in Eukaryota, Metazoa, Chordata, Actinopteri, Beloniformes, Adrianichthyidae.
UAUAAAUAAAGUUUGAUUUGAUUUGAUUUGAAAGUUAGAAGGGGCUUGGCACGAAAUGUCAAAGUUGUGUAAAUCCCACGAAUCAUGCUCCAGGCUUUGUCUCUCUCAUAUGGAAGACUUGGUGUCGCAUAAUUCCAGCCAGGCACAAAUGGCAUAUAUUAAUUUCUCCUCCAUGAUCACUUUUCAAACGGUUGACACUUUCGUGAAAUAAAGGAGACGCCAUCCAUAUAUUACUACCAAAUCGGAGUCUUUCAUUGGUCAAAGUUGGGCCUGGUUUACGCUCAAAUGCAACGCCCGAAAGUUUGAAUGCAGAGAACAGAAACGCACAUUUACAUAGACUUUAAAUUGGAACUGGCCGCUUGAAUGUAGCCUUAGGGAGAGAUUGCAUCUUUUUAUAGAAUUUGCAAGCAAAAAAUGAAUAACAGGAUCCUGUUCCAGCUGCAGACUCAGUGGGGAUCUGCUACACUGAGUGGUAUUUGCAGAUUUUGUAACCUCUAAGAAGUACUCCUUCUUCUAGUAUGACAUCAGAUCCUUGGACUUUGAAAAGACAAGUUCAACAUCCUGAAUCUGCCUUGAGGGAAUUUGCCUUAUGGGGGAAAGAAUACUGCAUGUAUUAUGGCUAAAAAUAAAAAAUAAUGGAAGAAAUAUAAUCAUAAACCACAAUGUGUUCAUCUCGGCUGCAGCCUGCUGUUUUCCACAGCAAUUAAGAAUGACAGCUAAUUUUAAUUCAGCCACAUGCUAGCGCAGAUGUUAGCCUAAUCAGGUGAUGAAAGCAAUGUUAAGAACUGAAACCCAAGAAAAGCUGCUUUAUUUCCUAAUUCUCAUCAUCGUAUCAAUUGGCCAAAUAAAUAAGUAGGGAAGAGGGGAAAUCCACACGGCUGUGUAAUCUGAUGAUCUUCAGCAGGUAAUUUUUAAUCCCCAAAUUUGUUUGUUUUGAUUGUUAUAUGAAGCUUUUACUUUCUCCAAAAGAGUUCUAAUCUUUCUUUCUCCUUCUCUGCAUGUAAUUCUUCUCUCACGUUUGCUUCUUUUUAAAUCAUGUGCUAAACGCCAACAGUGAGCAGGAAGCACGGGGUUGGUUUUUAAUAGCACGUGUGAACCCAGCAUCUGCUUCUAGAGAUCUGAGACACAGACUUGUCACCUUUUCAUCUCAAAACCUCGUCAACAUGUGACCUUGGAGUUGUGAAGGAAAUCUGGCUCCUCUGCAACUGAGUUUGGGCUGUGAAAGAGAAAGGAAUUGCAGUCUUCUUUAUUCUGUAAUUCAAGGGUAGAAAUUACCUUGGCUCUUUUUACAUAUAAUCUGUUAAGCAGUAUUAUAAGUUUUUUCUUUUUCUCCAUUACCAGGAUUUGGGCCACCUUCAACUGCCACUCAAACCCCAUUGCCUGUUUUGGAACUCUCCUGCAGGUGGUGGACCCAUGUGGGAGUAAUCCACAUCAUCUCUGCCGGCUGGAUCCCUACGCAGCCAAUGGAAAGAGCCCCAAUCCCAGGCCUGGAUCAAAAGGCCUGUCUGCUAUGGGAGACCGUACCAGAGAUACAAGCUAUGGACAGCGUAGGUCCUGGGAUCACUCGAACUCUCAAACCUCUCCACCACGUUAUAGUCCCAGAGAGUUUGGCUUCGCCAAGUGGGUGUACAGCUCCUGCCACAUGUGGAAGAAUUUGAGUUUUAGGCCUUGCUCCCCAUUGAGGGAAGAUCAGAUUGGGAAAUUGGCAGGCGGAUUGGUGCGGCGUCCGCUCUUGUGUACCAGUCCCUUGUGCUGAUAAGAGAGCUGAGCCAGAAAGCAAAGCUCUAAAUUUACUGGUCAAUCUUCGUUCCAGUACUCACCUAUAGUCAUAAGCUCUGGUUAAUGACCAAAAGACAGAGGUCUCAAGUACAAGCAGCCGAACUGGGUUUCCAUCAUAGGGUGGCUUGGCGCUCCCUUAGAGAUCACCUGCAGAGAGCUUGGAGUAGAACCGCUACUCCUCCACAUCAAGAGGAGCCACUUGAGGUGACUUGAGUACCUGGUCCAGAUGCCUCCUGGACGCCUCCCUGGGUAGGUGUUUCAAGCAUGUCCCACUGGUCUGAGGCCCCGGGGAAGACCCAAGACACACUGGAGAGACUAUGUCUCUCGAUUCGCCUCAGAGUCCCCCUAGAGCAGGGGUCACCAACCCUGUGCCCGCGGGAGGUUUUUAGUGGCGCCCUUCAUACCACUUGGUGCCCAUGAAAUAGCCCUCGGUCUCAAAAAGGUUGGUGAACCCUGCCCUAGAGGAGCAGGAGGAAGUGGCUGGGGAGAGAUUGCUGCCCCCAGGUCAAGGGGGCAGCAGUCUCUGCUCUUGCUAUUUUGACAUUUUUAGUUAUCAAGAUUUAAGAAUCAGAUCAUAUCAGAAUCCAUACUAAUGACUGUAUUUAGAUGGAAAGCAAGUGUAGGACAUCAUUCAUUGGCUGGUGUUUAACCUUUAUAGUAUAGACCUACUUUUUUUUUAGUGCAGUUUGAUUUUAAGCAUGAAAGAAACUAUUGCAUUGAUAAAAUUCACUGACUUAAAAGUUGUACUGGGCAUAAAAUCUAUUCGCAAAAGUAAAAAAAUAUUUCAGAAA